This 466-nucleotide ribosomal RNA is filed under the name uncultured bacterium. Its description in RNAcentral is "partial 16S ribosomal RNA". It matches the Rfam family "Bacterial small subunit ribosomal RNA", at positions 28 to 507 of the family's 1533-position model. The record is from RNAcentral.
GACGAACGCUGGCGGCGCGCCUAACACAUGCAAGUCGAACGAGCGAGGGAGAGCUUGCUUUCUCAAGCGAGUGGCGAACGGGUGAGUAACGCGUGAGGAACCUGCCUCAAAGAGGGGGACAACAGUUGGAAACGACUGCUAAUACCGCAUAAGCCCACGACCCGGCAUCGGGUAGAGGGCAAAGGAGCAAUCCGCUUUGAGAUGGCCUCGCGUCCGAUUAGCUAGUUGGUGAGGUAACGGCCCACCAAGGCGACGAUCGGUAGCCGGACUGAGAGGUUGAACGGCCACAUUGGGACUGAGACACGGCCCAGACUCCUACGGGAGGCAGCAGUGGGGAAUAUUGCACAAUGGGGGAAACCCUGAUGCAGCGACGCCGCGUGGAGGAAGAAGGUCUUCGGAUUGUAAACUCCUGUUGUUGAGGAAGAUAAUGACGGUACUCAACAAGGAAGUGACGGCUAACUACGUG